AUUGAACGCUGGCGGAAUGCUUUGCACAUGCAAGUCAAACGGCAGCACGGACUUCGGUCUGGUGGCGAGUGGCGAACGGGUGAGUAAUACAUCGGAACGUGCCCAAUCGUGGGGGAUAACGUAGCGAAAGCUACGCUAAUACCGCAUACGAUCUAAGGAUGAAAGCGGGGGAGCGCAAGACCUCGCGCCAUUGGCACGGCCGAUGGCAGAUUAGCUAGUUGGUAGGGUAAAGGCCUACCAAGCAGACGAUCUGUAGCUGGUCUGAGAGGAUGAUCAGCCACACUGGGAAUGAGACACGGCCCAGACUACUACGGGAGGCAGCAGUGGGGAAUUUUGGACAAUGGACGCAAGUCUGAUCCAGCCAUUCCGCGUGCAGGAUGAAGGCCCUCGGGUUGUAAACUGCUUUUGUACAGAACGAAAAGGCUCUGGUUAAUACCUAGGGCUCAUGACGGUACUGUAAGAAUAAGCACCGGCUAACUACGUGCCAGCCGCCGCAGUAA
This 500-nucleotide ribosomal RNA is filed under the name uncultured bacterium. RNAcentral describes it as "partial 16S ribosomal RNA". It matches the Rfam family "Bacterial small subunit ribosomal RNA", at positions 30 to 523 of the family's 1533-position model. The record is from RNAcentral.